AUCCAGCUGACGGGUUUAAAAUACGACGAAAUGUGCGUUCUGGAU
Non-coding RNA from Schistosoma haematobium, 45 nucleotides. The record is from Rfam. NCBI's taxonomy places the organism in Eukaryota, Metazoa, Platyhelminthes, Trematoda, Strigeidida, Schistosomatidae.